Molecule: long non-coding RNA, 859 nt
Filed under: Olea europaea subsp. europaea
Lineage: Eukaryota; Viridiplantae; Streptophyta; Magnoliopsida; Lamiales; Oleaceae
Source: RNAcentral
UGGGUCGAAACAGUGAUUUUUGGUACCACAUUGUCCUCCACUAUCUACCAUUGACCCCAAAUCUAGAAAUAGGAAGAUUUUCAGUUCUUAAUGAAAAUGGAAGUGUUCUAAAUAAAGGACACAUGCGAGCCCCAAGGAUUAAUACAUUAACACCUUUAUUGUCCUUAUCCCUAGAACAAUUCCUAAGUUGGAAUCCGGUAUAUAAGACAUGAGGAGGCAUGUCCUCGUCCCCACUGGCCUCUUUCCACAAAAGAAAGACCCUUAGUAAAUGGCUCCAAGCAUUGAGAAAGAGCUAGGUGGAGGCGAUGUUGUAUAGUCUAAUGAUGUACCUAAAGAAGGGGUGCAAAGGCAAUCUCAUGCCUCUACAAAGAAUGGCUUCGCUAACAGCAAUGCACUCCUACUUAGGAAAAUAGGCUCAUUUGUCAGGAGUGGGUACUAACAUCUCAAUAUUAUCAAGGAUCCUACAUCUUUCCCUAAAACUGAUUAGUUGACUCUGUUUCAUACAUAUCAACCAUAACGAUGCCCCCACCUUAUACUCUAAUCUACUGAUCCCUCCUACAUUAUCCAGGCACUAUGAGACUCCCGUAGCCUCCAUAAUCUUAUCAGUAUAGAUAAGAGCAAUUAAACCCAUCUUAGCAGCUAGUACGCUAAGAUCACCUAGUUCUGAGGUUUUAACACACUGGUCUUCCUAGUUAUUAAAGUCAUUGGUAAGACAAUUACAAAAUUCAAUUAGAAAAUGUGUUCUUCCUAAGACUACACUUAUAGAAACAAAAACGAACACAGGAAAAGAACGAUAACUGAAAAAUUGCUUUAUUCGCCAAGCGUUGCAAAGAAAACUUAGAACUUUCUUAGGAUUAAC